Molecule: small nuclear RNA, 121 nt
Filed under: Beta vulgaris subsp. vulgaris (sugar beet)
Lineage: Eukaryota; Viridiplantae; Streptophyta; Magnoliopsida; Caryophyllales; Amaranthaceae
Description: snRNA U11
Source: RNAcentral
UAGAAGGGCUGCGCUUUUAAAAAAGCGCAGCCCUUCUCACAAUAGAAGGGCUGCGCUUUUUAAAAAAGCGCAGCCCUUCUGUGUUAGUAGGGCUGCGCUUUUUAAAAAAGGCGCAGCCCUU